AACCACCAGUGGCGAAGGGGGACUCUUUGGGUCAGUAACUGACGCUGAGGAGCGAAAGCGUGGGGAGCGAACAGGAUUAGAUACCCCUGGUAGUCCACGCCUAAACGAUGAGUGCUAAAGUGUUAGGGGGUUUCCGCCCCUUAGUGCCGCAGCUAAACGCAUUAAGCACUCCGCCUGGGGAGUACGGUCGCAAGACUGAAACUCAAAGGAAUUGACGGGGGCCCGCACAGCGGUGGAGCAUGUGGUUUAAUUCGAAGCAACGCGAAGAACCUUACCAGGUCUUGACAUCCUCUGACAAUCCUAGAGAUAGGACGUCCCCUUCGGGGGCAGAGUGACAGGUGGUGCAUGGUUGUCGUCAGCUCGUGUCGUGAGAUGUUGGGUUAAGUCCCGCAACGAGCGCAACCCUUGAUCUUAGUUGCAGCAUUCAGUUGGGCACUCUAAGGUGACUGCCGGUGACAAACCGGAGGAAGGUGGGGAUGACGUCAAAUCAUCAUGCCCCUUAUGACCUGGGCUACACACGUGCUACAAUGGACAGAACAAAGGGCACGAAACCGCGAGGUUAAGCCAAUCCCACAAAUCUGUUCUCAGUUCGGAUCGCAGUCUGCAACUCGACUGCGUGAAGCUGGAAUCGCUAGUAAUCGCCGGUAUCCAGCCUAAAAACCGCCCGGGUCCG
This 673-nucleotide ribosomal RNA is filed under the name Bacillus subtilis. Its description in RNAcentral is "bacterial SSU rRNA". It matches the Rfam family "Bacterial small subunit ribosomal RNA", at positions 704 to 1382 of the family's 1533-position model. Lineage: Bacteria; Bacillati; Bacillota; Bacilli; Caryophanales; Bacillaceae. The record is from RNAcentral.